GACAAACGCUGGCGACGUGCUUAAUACAUGCAAGUCGAACGGACACACUUCGGUGUGUUAGUGGCGGACGGGUGAGUAACACGUAGAUGACCUGCCCUAUAGUGGGAUAACAGCCUGAAGGGUUGCUAAUACCGCAUAAGCUCUUACAUGAGGGUGUAAGAGGAAACCUUCGCAAGAGGGGCUAAAGGAGGGUCUGGCG
This 199-nucleotide ribosomal RNA is filed under the name uncultured bacterium. RNAcentral's name for it is "partial 16S ribosomal RNA". It matches the Rfam family "Bacterial small subunit ribosomal RNA", at positions 28 to 235 of the family's 1533-position model. The record is from RNAcentral.